This 465-nucleotide ribosomal RNA is filed under the name Vreelandella stevensii. RNAcentral's name for it is "partial 16S ribosomal RNA". It matches the Rfam family "Bacterial small subunit ribosomal RNA", at positions 338 to 795 of the family's 1533-position model. Lineage: Bacteria; Pseudomonadati; Pseudomonadota; Gammaproteobacteria; Oceanospirillales; Halomonadaceae. The record is from RNAcentral.
CCUACGGGGGGCAGCAGUGGGGAAUAUUGGACAAUGGGGGCAACCCUGAUCCAGCCAUGCCGCGUGUGUGAAGAAGGCCCUCGGGUUGUAAAGCACUUUCAGUGAGGAAGAACGCCUGCUGGUUAAUACCCAUCAGGAAAGACAUCACUCACAGAAGAAGCACCGGCUAACUCCGUGCCAGCAGCCGCGGUAAUACGGAGGGUGCGAGCGUUAAUCGGAAUUACUGGGCGUAAAGCGCGCGUAGGUGGCUUGAUAAGCCGGUUGUGAAAGCCCCGGGCUCAACCUGGGAACGGCAUCCGGAACUGUCAAGCUAGAGUGCAGGAGAGGAAGGUAGAAUUCCCGGUGUAGCGGUGAAAUGCGUAGAGAUCGGGAGGAAUACCAGUGGCGAAGGCGGCCUUCUGGACUGACACUGACGCUGAGGUGCGAAAGCGUGGGUAGCAAACAGGAUUAGAUACCCCAGUAGUC